This 254-nucleotide ribosomal RNA is filed under the name uncultured bacterium. RNAcentral describes it as "partial 16S ribosomal RNA". It matches the Rfam family "Bacterial small subunit ribosomal RNA", at positions 1247 to 1500 of the family's 1533-position model. The record is from RNAcentral.
AAGCGAGCCCGCGAGGGGGAGCGAAUCCCAAAAAUAACGUCCCAGUUCGGAUUGUAGUCUGCAACCCGACUACAUGAAGCUGGAAUCGCUAGUAAUCGCGGAUCAGAAUGCCGCGGUGAAUACGUUCCCGGGUCUUGUACACACCGCCCGUCACACCAUGGGAGUCGGAGAUGCCCGAAGUCUGUGACCCAACCUACGGGAGGGAGCAGCCGAAGGCAGGUCGGAUGACUGGGGUGAAGUCGUAACAAGGUAAC